GACGAACGCUGGCGGCGUGCUUAACACAUGCAAGUCGAACGAAGAGCGAUGGAAGCUUGCUUCUAUCAAUCUUAGUGGCGAACGGGUGAGUAACGCGUAAUCAACCUGCCCUUCAGAGGGGGACAACAGUUGGAAACGACUGCUAAUACCGCAUACGAUCCAAUCUCGGCAUCGGGACUGGAUGAAAGGUGGCCUCUAUUUAUAAGCUAUCACUGAAGGAGGGGAUUGCGUCUGAUUAGCUAGUUGGAGGGGUAACGGCCCACCAAGGCGAUGAUCAGUAGCCGGUCUGAGAGGAUGAACGGCCACAUUGGGACUGAGACACGGCCCAGACUCCUACGGGAGGCAGCAGUGGGGAAUCUUCCGCAAUGGACGAAAGUCUGACGGAGCAACGCCGCGGGAGUGAUGACGGCCUUCGGGUUGUAAAGCUCUGUUAAUCGGGACGAAUGGUUCUUGUGCGAAUAGUGCGAGGAUUUGACGGUACCGGAAGAGAAAGCCACGGCUAACUACGUG
This 510-nucleotide ribosomal RNA is filed under the name uncultured bacterium. RNAcentral's name for it is "partial 16S ribosomal RNA". It matches the Rfam family "Bacterial small subunit ribosomal RNA", at positions 28 to 507 of the family's 1533-position model. The record is from RNAcentral.